UACGUAGGGGGCAAGCGUUGUCCGGAUUUAUUGGGCGUACAGAGCGUGUAGGCGGCCAGACAGGUCCGUUGUGAAAACUCGAGGCUCAACCUCGAGACGCCGAUGGAAACCGUCUGGCUAGAGUCCGGAAGAGGAGAGUGGAAUUCCUGGUGUAGCGGUGAAAUGCGCAGAUAUCAGGAAGAACACCCGUGGCUAAGGCGGCUCUCUAGUACGGUACUGACGCUGAGACGCGAAAGCGUGGGGAGCGAACAGG
Molecule: ribosomal RNA, 253 nt
Filed under: uncultured bacterium
Lineage: Bacteria
Description: partial 16S ribosomal RNA
Rfam family: Bacterial small subunit ribosomal RNA
Source: RNAcentral